AUAUAUGCCUCUUGUGACACAUUUAUGGCCUUACAUGAAAUUCUUUUAAACGUUAGAGAUUUUUGAGUAGUUUCAAGUUUUUACUUUUAUUUUUUUUGUUUCUUAUUUAGAAGAAAAAAAAAUAUUUAUUUCGAAAUGGAGAGUGUGAAAAUGAGCUUUCUUAUCGUUAUGUUUGCCAUGUUUUUGUCCUUGAUUCUUCCAACUAUCAAUGCUCAAUCUCCCGCUCCAGCUCCAGCUCCAGCCCCUACAAGUGAUGGGGCAACAAUUGAUCAAGGGGUGGCUUAUGUGCUCAUGAUGGUUGCUUUGGCCUUGACAUACAUUAUGCACUAGCUUUUCCAUUCUUCUUAUAUUUCCCAUCUUUUUAUUUAUUGGGUUGUAUUUUGAUGUUCUUUUAAGAGUCAACUUAAUUUAUUCUUUUGUAUUGUAAAGAUUCAUUCAUUCUCAUUUCCCAUUUCUAGCCAUUGGUUCAUUUCUCAAAUUCAGAUUUGUUAUCAUCUGUACUUCCUAAUUAUUAUUCUUUAUUGAAAUUCAUAUCGUUUCGUUUUA
Molecule: long non-coding RNA, 546 nt
Organism: Erigeron canadensis
Lineage: Eukaryota; Viridiplantae; Streptophyta; Magnoliopsida; Asterales; Asteraceae
Exons: 2
Source: RefSeq, a predicted model, not a curated record